Small nuclear RNA from Heterocephalus glaber (naked mole-rat), 182 nucleotides. Its record names the gene U2. It matches the Rfam family "U2 spliceosomal RNA". From Rfam's summary of the family: U2 is a small nuclear RNA (snRNA) component of the spliceosome (involved in pre-mRNA splicing). Complementary binding between U2 snRNA (in an area lying towards the 5' end but 3' to hairpin I) and the branchpoint sequence (BPS) of the intron results the bulging out of an unpaired adenosine, on the BPS, which initiates a nucleophilic attack at the intronic 5' splice site, thus starting the first of two transesterification reactions that mediate splicing. The record is from Ensembl. NCBI's taxonomy places the organism in Eukaryota, Metazoa, Chordata, Mammalia, Rodentia, Bathyergidae.
AUCGCUUCUCGGCCUUUUGGCUAAGAUCAAGUGUAGUAACACACCUGUUGGUUACAGCUACCUACAUCUGCACUUACCUGUUGCUCUCUCUGUCAUCUCUGUCUCUGUAUACAUACCUGGAUACAUAUUUAUGCAUACGUAGUGUAUAAACAUAUAAUGUAUGCCUAUCUAUGUAAAUCUAU